Molecule: ribosomal RNA, 253 nt
Filed under: uncultured bacterium
Lineage: Bacteria
Description: partial 16S ribosomal RNA
Rfam family: Bacterial small subunit ribosomal RNA
Source: RNAcentral
UACGUAGGGUGCAAGCGUUGUCCGGAAUUAUUGGGCGUAAAGAGCUCGUAGGCGGUUUGUCGCGUCUGCUGUGAAAACUCGGGGCUUAACCCCGGGCCUGCAGUGGGUACGGGCAGACUAGAGUGCGGUAGGGGAGACUGGAAUUCCUGGUGUAGCGGUGAAAUGCGCAGAUAUCGGGAGGAACACCGGUGGCGAAGGCGGGACUCUGGGCCGAUACUGACGCUGAGGAGCGAAAGCGUGGGGAGCAAACAGG